AGAGAGAGAGAGAGGGAGAAGAUAUGAAGGUUUGAACUUUGAAGAGUGAGUUUCUCUUCAGUUUUCAGAGGCUUGAGGAUUAUUUAACAUUGAUUUGAUUAUUUUGGUGGUUUCAGAACAAUCUUGAAAUAGAAAAAUCUUGAACGUCUUUAAUGAGUGAUAUGGGGGAUGCAAACAAGAAGAGUUCUUGUUCAGGGGAUAGCAGCAAAAGCAAGAAGAAAUUGCGGAGGGGACGCAAUGGCUGUGAAUCGCUGGCGGAUAAACUUGAUAACUGGAAGAAGCGAAAUAAAUUUGUUGAAAUUCGCAAGCCUCCAUCCAAGGGCUCCCGAAAAGGUUGUAUGCAAGGAAAAGGUGGGCCAGAGAACCAGACUUGUUCAUAUAGAGGUGUUAGACAAAGAAUCUGGGGCAAAUGGGUUGCAGAAAUUCGAGAACCUGCUGGAAAGACUAGCUUUUUGAAUGCUGCACCAGGGCAUAGACAUUGGUUGGGUACAUUUUCAACUGCCAUUGAAGCAGCUAGAGCUUAUGACUAUGCGGCAAAGGCUAUGUAUGGUUCUAAUGCUAUCCUCAAUUUCCCUGGCUACUCUUUGGAAACUGAGUCUAGAGCAACAUUGAAUGGCUGUGAUGAUUUCCCUGUUGAGAAAUCAAAAACCCAUUGCUUGGGAGUUGAUGGAUUUAAAGAACGAAAUGAAAAAUUAGGUUCUUGUGGGAUUUUUGUUGUUGACGAAUCAAAUGAGAAACUUGAUAAAUCACAAGUGGCAGAGAGCGAUUCAAUAGAGUUGAAAGAUGAGGAAUGUAUUUCAAGAACUGAUUGCAGAUCUUUUAAAGAUGUUAAAGCUAAACCAAUGAUGCCGGUGAAAGAAAUGAAAGCAGAGUUUGCACAAGUUAUGGAAUACCCUGGACAUUACAGCAUCAAUCAUAAAUUUGACUUCUUGCAGAGUAAGUCCAAAAAUGUGAAAGCUGAAUUAAGCACUGAUCAUGAGUUUUCCAAUGAAAUCGAUGUCCUUACGCCCACAAUUGAAGAAAUAGAAGAAGAGCUUGGGAGAAGUAUGGAAUCAAAUCAAUAUGAUGGGUUCAAUAGUAUGCAUAUGCCCUUAAAUGAUGUUGAGAAGCUGAUGAUGAGGAAAGUAAUGGAGAGAGAAUUUCCAGGAAUGGAGUCCGGUUACUGUAAUCGCUUUGAGGUUAGACAUGACAAUAUGAGCAAUGAUUUUAUAGAUAUGAACUGCUAUACAGGAAUUGAUCUUAAGCUGUCUAAGCACAUGGAUGGCACUGAGAACUCUGCACUGAAAGGAGAGAAGAAUUUGGACCAUGAUCACUUUGAAUUAGGCUCUACGAAUUGCCAGCAGAGCAAUUGGCCAUCUAAUCUUUCUUCUCAGUUGCAGAACCCAAGAACCAAUCUACAAGAAAGCUCCAAUCAUACAGAAGAAGCAAACAGACACUUGGAUUGCAAUUUCAACUUGUUGGAGCCUGACUUUAACUGGGGUUCAAUGGAAGAGCCGGGAUUGAUUGAACUAUGGGAUUUUGGAUUGUAGUAAUUCUAGAGGCUUGACAUUGGUUUUCAUUUUGUUGAGGAGUGAGGAACAUGAUCAGAAGCAGAAGAAAUAUUAGUCAUAUCUAACUGCUAGCCAUACUAUCAUCUUUUCUCCAAAGUAAUUUUGCUCAUAUCUCUGCUUAAUUAGUCAAUGUCAUAUUAUUUGUGGAUUCUUCGUUAGUCUUUGAGAAACAACUUCUUGUUUUGUUCAUUGUGCACUUCUUAUUAUAAGUCACAUGAUUAUACACACAUGCAUUAAAU
RNAcentral lists this unclassified non-coding RNA (1789 nucleotides) under Hevea brasiliensis (rubber tree). Lineage: Eukaryota; Viridiplantae; Streptophyta; Magnoliopsida; Malpighiales; Euphorbiaceae. The record is from RNAcentral.